This 326-nucleotide long non-coding RNA is filed under the name Pan troglodytes (chimpanzee). RNAcentral describes it as "lincRNA". Lineage: Eukaryota; Metazoa; Chordata; Mammalia; Primates; Hominidae. The record is from RNAcentral.
GAGGCAGGGUUGGAGUUGGAGCAGGAAGCUGAGGGUCUUGUCAUGCCCGCCCUUCCUUCCGCGUGGCUCCACCAGGCUGCCCUCUGGGAAAGGAGGCCCUGGAAUGCCUGCAGCUUCACAGCAGGAAGAGAGCACGGUCCACGUUGCCCACAGGUUCCUGCUCAAAUCCAGAGUGAGCCUGCAGGACAGCCGGAAAGCCCUCCCAAGGUGCCUCAGCCUGGAGCUCACCCAGGACGCAGAGCAGGUGCAGGUGCAGGUGCAGACGGCAGACGGACGCAUCAGGGGCCUGGUGUGAAUAACGCCCCGCUUGAGAAGCUCAGGACUGG